GUGUGACAGUAUUUUGAUUCGUAUCUACUGGAAGUGAGGAAAAAGAGAAAAGUCAAGGGCUGUUGAUGGGAGGGGGGCUGAAGAAGAAGAGCUGUCAAAAAGGUAUUCCCGAGUCUGUCUAAAAGCGGAGGGCUGGUGCUCGCUAUCCCUCCCCCCGAGCGUUAUUUCGAGGACACAUUCAGGCCCGGGGCCUCGGUGGUGCAACUUAGCUUUUCGUCUGCCCGACACUAGCUGGACCUUUCUCGGCUUCUCCUGUGCCAGCUCCGCGGCCCUCUGGAGGUCCGGCGGCGUUCUGGGGUGUCGUAGGCGGCCCGAGGAGCGGCAGCCGGGAGACGGGGAAAGUAAACCGCUCAUCCUCCUUUUUUUCCCCUCCCUGACCCCCCCAGAAGAUGUUCAAGAUGAAGGCUUUUUGCUUCCACAACUAAUGCCAAAGUGCGCCAACUAAAACCAGCAGUCCUGACCUGGCACCAUACGAAUGGCCCAGGGAAGCCACCAUAUUGAUAUUCAGGUUUUGCAUUACCUGCACCAGAAGUUCCCUGAAGUCCCAGAGGGUGUUGUGUCCCAGUGUGUUCUGCAGAAUAACAACAACUUAGAUGCGUGCUGUGAAUACUUGUCCCAGGUCAGUCCAGCCUACUUGUACAGUGAAGAAGGAAACAUCAACUUUUCUGACGACCCCAGUUUGACCAGGCUCCGUAAUCACAUGACCCAGCUGAACCUGGGUCUGCAGUCUCAGAAUGUGCACAUGGCCCCAGCGCGAGACGGCCUGAGAAUGAACGGCAGCCGGACUCUGGCCCAUAGCCUGAGCGAAGGGCCCCUGCAGACAGGCCAGGCUCCAAACAGUAACUUUUUUCAGCAGGAGCCGCAGUCUGCUCCAGUUGAAGGGCCCCCCAGUCUCAAUGUGUUUCGUGCAAUGGAGACCUCGCGCAAACCGCAGCCUCCACAGCACCUUGGACUCUACCCUCUAGGUGUCAAAGGAGCGACCAUGGGUCUCCAGCAAACACCACGUUUCAACCCUAUUACCGUGACGCUAGCUCCUCAUAUUCAGACAGGCCGCAGCACUCCUACUUCUUUACACAUACAUGGUGGGCCACAGUCAGGUCUAAGCAGUCCACAGGGUAACGCUAUCUACAUUAGGCCCUAUGUCAGUCAAUGCGGUACAACUCGACAGAAUCAGCAGCAGGGUGGCAGGGCCCAGUAUAGCCCCACUUCUCAGCCUCAGCAGCAGAUCUAUCAGAUCUCUCAUCCUUCAUCCUUGUCUGGGUCAUGGUCUGGCCCUCAUCAAUCCUCUUCCUCACAUACCUCACAACAUCAGACCCAGGGCCACCAGACAUCUCAUGUCUACAUGCCAAUUAGCUCCCCAACCAAUUCCCAGGCACCCUCCAUCCUUCCCUCUGGAAGCCAGGCGUCUUCAUCUGGUGUCUCCUCUUCUAGCUCGUCUUCGUCCUCGUCCUCCUCUUCCUCUGUCAUGCCCACCUCGCUCUCUGCUAUCAGCCAGUACAAUAUCCAGAACAUCUCCACUGGCCCGCGGAAGAAUCAGAUCGAGAUCAAACUUGAAUCUCCUCAGAGGAGUAACUCCACCACAACGACAGCUGUGCUGCGAACAGGUGGUGGGUCCCGUUCCUCCUCCACCUCAUCCUCCUGCCCGUCCUCCUCCUCCUCAACUGGUGUUUCUACAGUCCCUACCACCCCUCUCUCCAUCGGAGGCUCGGGUCUGAGCCGUAGCCAGCCCACUGUUUACAUCUCUGCUAGCCCACCCACUGCUGCUACCACGCCUUCUGAGGAGGCAGUCAUGGCCUCAACCGGAUCCCGUUCACAACCCAAGUUUUACAUUUCAACAAAUGCCUCCAGCGAUGACAGUGGGGGUAGGAACCCUCCCACAGUCUACAUCUCAGCUAACCCUCCAUUGCAGGCUCCAUCAGGUGCAAGGAACAUUGGGAGCCAGGUGAGCAUGGGCCCCGCCUAUAUCCACCACCAUCCACCUAAAUCUCGGGCUUCGGUGGGAGUGGGAAACACGGCUUCCUCGCCACGUGUGGUGGUGACUCAACCCAACACAAAAUAUACUUUCAAAAUCACUGUGUCCCCCAACAAACCCCCAGCAGUGUCUCCUGGGGUGGUGUCUCCUACAUUUGAGCCCAACAACCUCCUCAGCCUACCACCAGACCAUCACUUUGUGGAGCCAGACCCCAUCCAUCUCUCAGACCCACUUUCACCGCACAAGGAGAGACCCAGCGAGCCUCGACGACUCAGCAUGGGCUCUGAUGAUGCUGCAUACACACAAGCGUUGUUGGUCCAUCAGAAGGCCCGCAUGGAGAGGCUGUGGCAUGAACUGGAGCUAAAAAAGAAGAAGCUGGAGAAGCUAAAAGAGGAGGUCAAUGAGAUGGAGAAUGACCUGACAAGGAGACGACUGGAGAGAUCAAACUCUGCCUCCCAAAUUCCUUCAAACUGGUGUACAGUAAGGCUGAUGACACUAAAUAUCGAGGAGAUGAAGCAGUUGCGGUGCAAGAACAGAUUACUACAAAUCGACAUUGACUGCCUCACCAAAGAAAUUGAUCUCUUUCAAAAAAGAGGUCACAGGCAGGUCACAGGGGAAGUAAUCGAACCACGAUUCCUCACGCGCAUGCACAAAAGACCAAGAUGACUGCGAUCAACAGCGGCUUAGUUGGAGCUCCCAGUUCAUGUGAAGAAUCACAGGUAAAGUAAGUAACGUGUAUAUCCAAUAUUUAUUUCUUAAAAUUGUUCCAUUUUAAAUAAUAUGUCGCUUUGGGGUUACACAUUAGCUUGCAAGCUAAAGACAUAUGCCUCAGUGCUCAUCGGUACCCUCCUCUCAGCUAUGUAGUAUGUGCAUUUGUUUACAACUAAGCUAGUGGGAAUCCGUGGAGCGAUGUGUUAUCAUAUACACAUGUAUGUUUGUGUCGUCUUGUCUGUCACAAACAAGACGUUAGGGCCGGGUACGGGUUGUGUUUCUGUCGUGAUGCAGCUGAGAUGAGAGCUGGGAGUCAAGAGUGGGACACCGGGUUGGCUCUGAUCUUUUUUUAGGUAGCUUUUCUGCCAAGAGAGUCAAGAGAUGCUAAGUGGAAGACUGGGCCUCCAUUCUUCCUGUAACAAGUCAUUUAUUUAACCAGCACUGUUACUCUCCAGCUGUUUAAUUGAGGUAGAAAAAAAAUAACAACAAGCCAAAUAUCCCGCAUAGUUCCCCUUUCCAUCAGAGCUUCGUCCCUAGCAACGAUGUUGACAGCACUCAUUAGAGCCCUAUAAUAGUUAAACAACGUUUUAACUCGCAAGCUAAUGAUUGGCAUAUUAAUUUGCUAAAAAUACUCGAGUUUUACAAAUAAGUACUGUAUUUUAAAUGUCUGUCCAGUCUAACGUAGAAUUGUUUAGAAUUCUGUCGUUUUUGUCAACAGUGGCAUUGAAUGCAUCCAAGUUGUAUUUUUGAAAUUGUUUUGUUGACCAGUUAUUGGAAUUAAUGAAAUCAUUUUUAUUUUAUGCUUGUGGUUCAUGACUUUCUAUCUGUUCCUGCUUUUACCCCUGUUGCUAAGACUCAUAAAAUUUCCCUUAAGGAUCAAUGAAGAUUAUUUAUGUUUUAAUUGUUGUUAAUAUUUUGCCUCUGCAGAUUCAAACACUGUCUUUCUAUACAGAUUUUUUUUAAUCUGGAACCAACAACAAAUAACUACUCAAAGACUUUUUUUUUUUCUUUCCAAAGACAGUGGGAAACUAUGGAUGGCCGCCAAGGCUCAGGGGCGAUGAAGGCGUUGAAAUGUCUCAAUUGCUGAAACCAUGUUGACUGUUGUUAGCGCUGGAAGAGGGAACGGAGUAUAUAUAAUCAGAGAAGCUCUUAAGAACAUCACAGAAGGUUGGGAUAACAAUCCUUUAAAGACUAAAGAUGGACUCUCACCAAACCAGCUUUGGGUUUUGGGUCAGAUGAAGAUUUGCAGAAUGUGGAGCUAUUUGGAACUGACUGGGAGACGUUUGAUGCUGUGCAUGGGAAUCCAUAUGGAGUUUAAGUUCAAGAAAUUGAGUACCCUCUGACUCCAUCUAUUAUUGAAACUGCACAAUCCCUAAUUGAUCCCUUGGCAGUUGGCAUCAUCAGAAUCAUUUGGCAGAGACAUUUACAUAAUGUUUCAGUUUAUUGAAGCUCCAAGGGAAACAUGAGAAAUGCCUGCGAAAAGACCUUGCAAAAUAUUAAACGGUAUAAGGGUGAACAUUUACAGACAGUCUACUUGUUUCAAAAAAAGGCUUGCUCUGACUGACAUCUGUUAACUUUAACGUGAGACAGGAGUCCCAAACAUUUUUAUUGAAAAACAAAACAAACUGCAUAGAGGUUUUAACAAAAGCUGCAUUUGUUGUGACUAGUUGACAGGAAUUACUGUAUGUUGUAGCAAUUGUUCAGACACCUGUUAAUGUCAACACAACUAUGUAAGUCAUCCACUUGUAACCCCUCCAUGUCUAUUUCCAUGAAAUUGUUAUCCUAGAGGUCACUAUAUUACAUUCCAUCAAUUACAUUAAUUUGAAAUAGUGACAAAGGUUAAAAAAAAAAACACACUCCGAUUGUAUUGGUUGUAUAGUUUGACUUUGACUCAAUUAACCAUUUAUACUGCACUGUAUAAAAUGUACUGCAGGAUAGCAGAAAAGGUUAACCUCCUUAUUACCCUCUCUUGACUAAAACAUACCAGAAUCUUUAAUUUCCUGAAUAUAGUACUGGAGAAAGUUCCUUUUGGUUCUUUGCAGAACCAAUCUCACAGAAGGAGGGGUGCAUCCACUUUUAAGAAGGAAGUGCAUUUCAGUCUACAUAAACAUUGUAAUUCUUGAAAAGGACAUUCAUAUUCAAUUAAAGGCAGUCUAA
Molecule: RNA transcript, 4840 nt
Organism: Phyllopteryx taeniolatus (common seadragon)
Lineage: Eukaryota; Metazoa; Chordata; Actinopteri; Syngnathiformes; Syngnathidae
Gene: tab2
Gene name: TGF-beta activated kinase 1 (MAP3K7) binding protein 2
Exons: 10
Source: RefSeq, a predicted model, not a curated record